This 1720-nucleotide small RNA is filed under the name Drosophila pseudoobscura pseudoobscura. Its description in RNAcentral is "GA31745". The record is from RNAcentral. Lineage: Eukaryota; Metazoa; Arthropoda; Insecta; Diptera; Drosophilidae.
AUACUUCAAAGAUAAGAUUCAUUUGGUUAAAGAAGCCUGAAAGUCAGUCGAGGAUGAAUGGCUUUUGAUCGAAAAGAGCAAUGAAAGGAUUUAGUUUAGUGGGUGAAAGAUUGGCUUACAACCGGGAAUGGAAUGAUUUUACGGGAAGUAUAAGAGUGUUUAUUUGCAGGGUUUUGUUGUACUGUGACAAAUGGUUGGUAAAAAAGAUCCUUGAAGGCAAAGGCCCUUGAUGACGUUGGGCACUUACUAGAGCCUGGUUUCCCAAUUCUGUAGUACACUGUUUCACUGCCUCAGUGUUUCCUUAUUUUACUGUAGAGUAUGGUAUAUUCAUAGGGAACAUUUUGUGGUAGUUCCUGUUCCACUUCAUAGGUUCUACAGCACUUUUAGAUUCAUUGAGGUGGUAUCUCAAGUGGCAGUGACAAUUAGGAUAUCCUUUUAGGUCUGGUAUCAUUGAUUUUUCAGCUUCCAUUUUUAAAUAUGUAUGUAUUAUAUUUCCAUGUUUGAUGUUCACAUUUUCGAAUGCUUUUAGCUUAACUGAACCCAAUGAUUCAGUCGAAUUAUUUAUGAGGUGCCAACUACAAUUGCCAACACCCAAAAAACGAAUGAUAUUUUAUUAGAACCCAACACCAUAGGGCGGCCCAUCCCUGGAACCAAAACGGGAAUGUAAUACAAGAAAACUAUUUGUUAGUUUGCGCCAAUUUAAUGUUGACUUUGCACUUCAAUCCACACACAGCCACAGCCAAAUUAGGGCAAAUCAAACAGAUACGAUACGCAUAGAAGCGAGACCUUAUUGUAUCUUAUUGUACCACCCAUUGCCAUUAGUUCUCAUUUAUCAAUGUAUCUAUCUAUCAAUUAAGUGAACGUGCGCUUUUCCCAGGGGCGCUUUAGAUAGGAGACACCAUCGAAACAAAAAGAUACAAGAACCAAACCCCCAACGGAUGACACUGACAAUUUCCACGGAACAAUGGAUGAGCAUUCGUUCGAUCGCGUUGCGUGGGGCAAUUAAAAAUUUCACCCAAAUAGCAAACGUUGCGCAUGAUUAGACCACGGAAUUCGAGAAGUUCGAGGCGAAUUUCAUGCUCUCGACCCGCAUCGGUGGAAAAUUGGUGGACAGCCGGCGGGUGGUCGAAGCCGACGACAGCAGAAAAUUUGUCGAAACUUUGGCUCUGUACUCAAUAUAGUUCUGUUAUGGACUGUUAGGAGAAGAGUCUGAGGAGGAGAUGAUUGUUGUGUUGUGUGGCAGGGCUGGGAAUCUUGUUUUGGCAGCUGUCAAUGUGUCAAUAUUAAUUUAAUAUGUCAGAGCCAGAAGCAGUAUUCAGCACAAUUUUAAAUUGAGUUAUAAUGUGACACACGAGAUGAUGGGCUGGUGCUGGUGCUGGUGCUGCGACUCUCCCAAAACAUGCCAUUAGGGGUUGUACUUCUCACAACACUCAAGUGGUUAUUCGAGGAUAUUCAAUAUCCUUAGCGAUCAACCCCUCUUGACUUUGACGACUGUUUUCAUGUACCUACUUCAGGAGGGCCUCUGGUAGACGUCGAACAAUUUGUUAAUGAGCAAAUUACAUGCAGAACAGUGGACACGCCCUCAAAGUGAUUCACAACCUCCCUCCCGUCCCCAUACAUUUUCCCAAGAAAUUUUGGGAAAUUCUUUCGAUGAUAAGGCAAACAACUAUUAAAACUGUUGAAGCGUAAAAGGAUGCCCCCAGAAUAUGCCUGGCAGGGU